This 537-nucleotide ribosomal RNA is filed under the name uncultured bacterium. RNAcentral describes it as "bacterial SSU rRNA". It matches the Rfam family "Bacterial small subunit ribosomal RNA", at positions 45 to 545 of the family's 1533-position model. The record is from RNAcentral.
CACAUAAGACAUGCAAGUCGAACGGAAGUCGUUGUAAUGAUGUGGACAUGGACAGAGAACUUGUUCGAAGAAAGUGAAAAUUGACUUACAACAAUGGCUUUAGUGGCGGACUGGUGAGUAACGCGUGAGCAACCUGCCUGUUAGAGGGGAAUAACAGUGAGAAAUCAUUGCUAAUACCGCAUAUGCCAUAACUAUCACAUGAUAGAAGUGGGAAAGGAGUAAUCCGCUAACAGAUGGGCUCGCGUCUGAUUAGAUAGUUGGUGGGGUAACGGCCUACCAAGUCUACGAUCAGUAGCCGGACUGAGAGGUUGAACGGCCACAUUGGGACUGAGAUACGGCCCAGACUCCUACGGGAGGCAGCAGUCGGGAAUAUUGCGCAAUGGAGGAAACUCUGACGCAGUGACGCCGCGUAUAGGACGAAGGUCUUCGGAUUGUAAACUAUUGUCGUUAGGGAAGAGAAAGGACAGUACCUAAGGAGGAAGCUCCGGCUAACUACGUGCCAGCAGCCGCGGUAAUACGUAGGGAGCAAGCGUUAUC